ACUUGGCCACACCUCUUAUUACUACUGUAAGAUAGAGCCUCUGUGUCCUGGGAUAAAAUGAUCUGUUUUUGUUCUUAUUUCAGCAGAA
Molecule: long non-coding RNA, 88 nt
Organism: Sinocyclocheilus grahami
Lineage: Eukaryota; Metazoa; Chordata; Actinopteri; Cypriniformes; Cyprinidae
Exons: 3
Source: RefSeq, a predicted model, not a curated record